CCUCCCGAGUGCUUGCACUCAAUUGGAAAGAGGAGUGGCGGACGGGUGAGUAACACGUGGGUAACCUACCCAUCAGAGGGGGAUAACACUUGGAAACAGGUGCUAAUACCGCAUAACAGUUUAUGCCGCAUGGCAUAAGAGUGAAAGGCGCUUUCGGGUGUCGCUGAUGGAUGGACCCGCGGUGCAUUAGCUAGUUGGUGAGGUAACGGCUCACCAAGGCCACGAUGCAUAGCCGACCUGAGAGGGUGAUCGGCCACACUGGGACUGAGACACGGCCCAGACUCCUACGGGAGGCAGCAGUAGGGAAUCUUCGGCAAUGGACGAAAGUCUGACCGAGCAACGCCGCGUGAGUGAAGAAGGUUUUCGGAUCGUAAAACUCUGUUGUUAGAGAAGAACAAGGACGUUAGUAACUGAACGUCCCCUGACGGUAUCUAACCAGAAAGCCACGGCUAACUACGUGCCAGCAGCCGCGGUAAUACGUAGGUGGCAAGCGUUGUCCGGAUUUAUUGGGCGUAAAGCGAGCGCAGGCGGUUUCUUAAGUCUGAUGUGAAAGCCCCCGGCUCAACCGGGGAGGGUCAUUGGAAACUGGGAGACUUGAGUGCAGAAGAGGAGAGUGGAAUUCCAUGUGUAGCGGUGAAAUGCGUAGAUAUAUGGAGGAACA
Molecule: ribosomal RNA, 661 nt
Filed under: Enterococcus faecalis
Lineage: Bacteria; Bacillati; Bacillota; Bacilli; Lactobacillales; Enterococcaceae
Description: bacterial SSU rRNA
Rfam family: Bacterial small subunit ribosomal RNA
Source: RNAcentral